Molecule: ribosomal RNA, 207 nt
Filed under: uncultured bacterium
Lineage: Bacteria
Description: partial 16S ribosomal RNA
Rfam family: Bacterial small subunit ribosomal RNA
Source: RNAcentral
CGCGUAGGCGGCGCAUUAAGUGAGAAGUGAAAGCCCACGGCUUAACCGUGGAAUUGCUUCUCAUACUGGUGUGCUAGAGUAUGGGAGAGGAAAGUGGAAUUCCCGGUGUAGCGGUGAAAUGCGUAGAGAUCGGGAGGAACACCAGUGGCGAAGGCGACUUUCUGGACCAUUACUGACGCUGAUGCGCGAAAGCGUGGGUAGCAAACA